CAGAGGUAGCUUGCUACUUGCUGACGACCGGCGCACGGGUGCGUAACGCGUAUACAAUCUGCCUUAUACAGAGGGAUAGCCUUUAGAAAUGAAGAUUAAUACCUCAUGGUCUAUUAAUAUAGCAUUAUAUAAAUAGUAAAGCUUCGGCGGUAUAAGAUGAGUAUGCGUCCUAUUAGUUAGUUGGUAAGGUAACGGCUUACCAAGACAACGAUAGGUAGGGGCCCUGAGAGGGGGAUCCCCCACACUGGUACUGAGACACGGACCAGACUCCUACGGGAGGCAGCAGUGAGGAAUAUUGGACAAUGGAGGUAACUCUGAUCCAGCCAUGCCGCGUGCAGGAAGACGGCCCUAUGGGUUGUAAACUGCUUUUAUAUAGGAAGAAACCUUUUCACGUGUGAGAAGCUGACGGUACUAUAAGAAUAAGGACCGGCUAACUCCGUGCCAGCAGCCGCGGUAAUACGGAGGGUCCGAGCGUUAUCCGGAAUCAUUGGGUUUAAAGGGUCCGUA
This 507-nucleotide ribosomal RNA is filed under the name uncultured Bacteroidota bacterium. RNAcentral describes it as "bacterial SSU rRNA". It matches the Rfam family "Bacterial small subunit ribosomal RNA", at positions 70 to 573 of the family's 1533-position model. Lineage: Bacteria; Pseudomonadati; Bacteroidota. The record is from RNAcentral.